This is an unclassified non-coding RNA of 321 nucleotides. Its record names the gene 7SK. It matches the Rfam family "7SK RNA". From Rfam's summary of the family: 7SK was discovered as an abundant small nuclear RNA in the mid-70s but a possible function has only recently been suggested. Two independent studies have found that 7SK RNA binds the CDK9/cyclin T complex (known as elongation factor P-TEFb). The record is from Ensembl.
GGAUGUGAGGGCGAUCUGGUUGCGACGUCCGUCACCCCCAUUGAUCACCAGGGUGACUCGGCUGACCUGGCUGGCUAGGCCCGUGUCCCCUUCCUGCCUCACCGCCCUACAUGCGUCCCUCCUGAAGCUGCACACUUGGUCAAAGAGGACAGCCAUCCCUGACAGAGGAGGACCCAUCUUUGGUCAAGCAUAUGAGUAGCUGUGCUCUCUGUUAGAAUCUCCAAGCCUGCUCUCGAAAAAGAGACGCAGCAAGGUUCUACCCCCAGGUCAGGAAGAUCCCCUGGAGGAGGAAAUGGCAACCCACCCUAGUAUUCUUGCCUG